UGACCGGUCGCCAAGUGGUAAGGCAGCGGAUUUUGAUUCCGCCAUUCGGAGGUUCGAUCCCUCCCCGGUCUGCCC
RNAcentral lists this transfer RNA (75 nucleotides) under Acidovorax sp. CF316. RNAcentral's name for it is "tRNA-OTHER". It matches the Rfam family "tRNA". From Rfam's summary of the family: Transfer RNA (tRNA) molecules are approximately 80 nucleotides in length. Their secondary structure includes four short double-helical elements and three loops (D, anti-codon, and T loops). Lineage: Bacteria; Pseudomonadati; Pseudomonadota; Betaproteobacteria; Burkholderiales; Comamonadaceae. RNAcentral also lists the same sequence under 5 other names. The record is from RNAcentral.